Molecule: ribosomal RNA, 472 nt
Filed under: uncultured Sphingobacteriales bacterium
Lineage: Bacteria; Pseudomonadati; Bacteroidota; Sphingobacteriia; Sphingobacteriales
Description: bacterial SSU rRNA
Rfam family: Bacterial small subunit ribosomal RNA
Source: RNAcentral
UUGACGGGGCCGCACAAGCGGUGGAGCAUGUGGUUUAAUUCGAUGAUACGCGAGGAACCUUACCUGGGUUUAAAUGCAGGACGCAAGUCACGUGAAAGCGAGACCCUCCUUCGGGACGGACUGCAAGGUGCUGCAUGGUUGUCGUCAGCUCGUGCCGUGAGGUGUCGGGUUAAGUCCCAUAACGAGCGCAACCCUCAUCGUUAGUUACCAGCGGAUCAUGCCGGGGACUCUAACGAGACUGCCACCGUAAGGUGAGAGGAAGGUGGGGAUGACGUCAAAUCAGCACGGCCCUUAUAUCCAGGGCUACACACGUGUUACAAUGGCCAGUACAAAGGGCAGCUACCUGGUGACAGGAUGCUAAUCUCGAAAACUGGUCUCAGUUCGGAUCGAAGUCUGCAACUCGACUUCGUGAAGUUGGAUUCGCUAGUAAUCGCGCAUCAGCAAUGGCGCGGUGAAUACGUUCCCGGGCCUU